GUGUGAAAGGCUAGUUUUGGUUGUUUUCAGGAGGUGUAGAGGUAGACCGAAGAAAUAUUAGAGGGAGAUGAUUAGACACGACAUGAAACAGUUAUAGCUUACUGUGGACAUGACUUUAGAUAGAAAGGUGCGGAGGUCGCGGAUAAGGGUAGAAGACUAGUGUGUGUGUGAGCCGUAGCAAGUAGUUAGGAGAGCUCUUGUGUUGCCGGGUUAGUAAUCCUAGGGCUGUGUCCAUAAGUAUGAGCAGCUAGUUAGGAGAGGUU
This 263-nucleotide long non-coding RNA is filed under the name Capsicum annuum. RNAcentral's name for it is "long non-coding RNA (CANN_LNC012202)". Lineage: Eukaryota; Viridiplantae; Streptophyta; Magnoliopsida; Solanales; Solanaceae. The record is from RNAcentral.